RNAcentral lists this long non-coding RNA (441 nucleotides) under Homo sapiens (human). RNAcentral's name for it is "non-protein coding lnc-CLEC14A-1:3". Lineage: Eukaryota; Metazoa; Chordata; Mammalia; Primates; Hominidae. The record is from RNAcentral.
UGAUCAUGGAAGAUGGGAGCAAGAAAGGACACUAUGUUUGAUUUGAUUUUGCAGGGAAUAGAGCGACUCAUUAGUCAUUCAGUCAAACAUCCAACAAACAUUUAUUGAGCAUUUACAAUGUACCAUGUUAUUAGAUGCAAGAGAUACAAUGGUGAGGAAAAACAAAUAUUCCCAUGUCUUCAUGAAGCUCAAGACUUAACAGAGGAAACUAUCACCCCCUAAGAGGAAGCCAAUAUCAUUUGUCACAAGUUUAAAGCAUGGAUUAUUGCAAAAAUCAAGAUGCAGACAAAAUGGCAAAUCUGAGAAGAGAUGGACAGGCAAAAUGGAGCACAACGGAGUCACUACUGCUACGUCAGUGUGGAGUCGCACCUUGAGCCAUAGUGUUACUUAACCAUGUUCCUUGAUGGCACACAGAAUGUUAUACUGUAAUAUAGAUGUAAA